This 389-nucleotide unclassified non-coding RNA is filed under the name soil metagenome. RNAcentral describes it as "partial contains 5.8S ribosomal RNA, internal transcribed spacer 2, and large subunit ribosomal RNA". The stretch from base 1 to 122 matches the Rfam family "5.8S ribosomal RNA", at positions 35 to 154 of the family's 154-position model. The record is from RNAcentral.
GAUGAAGAACGUAGUGAAAUGCGAUACUUGGUGUGAAUUGCAGAAUCCCGUGAACCAUCGAGUCUUUGAACGCAAGUUGCGCCCGAAGCCAUUAGGCCGAGGGCACGCCUGCCUGGGCGUCACACGUCGUUGCCCCCCCAUCUACUCCUUCGGGAUUGCGGGGGGCGGAUGAUGGCCUCCCGUGCGCCUAGCCGCGCGGUUGGCAUAAAUACCAAGUCCUCGGCGACGCACGCCACGACAAUCGGUGGUUGCGAAACCUCGGUUGCCCGUCGUGUGCGUUCGUCGCGCAUCGAGGGCUCGAAAAAAUGCUCGGCUCCGGCUCGGCUUUCAACGCGACCCCAGGUCAGGCGGGGUUACCCGCUGAAUUUAAGCAUAUCAAAAGCGGAGGA